UGGUGGGUAGUUUGACUGGGGCGGUCUCCUCCUAAAGAGUAACGGAGGAGCACGAAGGUUAGCUAAUCCUGGUCGGACAUCAGGAGGUUAGUGCAAAGGCAUAAGCUAGCUUGACUGCGAGAGUGACGGCUCGAGCAGGUGCGAAAGCAGGUCUUAGUGAUCCGGUGGUUCUGAAUGGAAGGGCCAUCGCUCAACGGAUAAAAGGUACUCCGGGGAUAACAGGCUGAUACCGCCCAAGAGUUCAUAUCGACGGCGGUGUUUGGCACCUCGAUGUCGGCUCAUCACAUCCUGGGGCUGAAGUAGGUCCCAAGGGUAUGGCUGUUCGCCAUUUAAAGUGGUACGCGAGCUGGGUUUAGAACGUCGUGAGACAGUUCGGUCCCUAUCUGCCGUGGGCGCUGGAGAAUUGAGGGGGGCUGCUCCUAGUACGAGAGGACCGGAGUGGACGCAUCACUGGUGUUCGGGUUGUCAUGCCAAUGG
Molecule: ribosomal RNA, 477 nt
Filed under: Citrobacter freundii
Lineage: Bacteria; Pseudomonadati; Pseudomonadota; Gammaproteobacteria; Enterobacterales; Enterobacteriaceae
Description: partial 23S ribosomal RNA
Rfam family: Bacterial large subunit ribosomal RNA
Source: RNAcentral